Carassius auratus (goldfish) is the source of this 1830-nucleotide long non-coding RNA. RefSeq lists it as uncharacterized. Lineage: Eukaryota; Metazoa; Chordata; Actinopteri; Cypriniformes; Cyprinidae. The record is from RefSeq and is a predicted model, not a curated record. The transcript is spliced from 3 exons.
AUUCAUCAUGAAAGUCAGAUGAAGAGUGAAAAUGAGAAGCUCAAAAGAGAACUGGAGCAACACAAACUCAAAGAAAGAGAGUGGGAACAAAAACUCAAGGAAGUGGAGGACAGAUUAAGACUGGAGACAGAUUUGAGGAGAAGAGAGAAGGAACUGGAGUCCAAAGAGAGAGGAACGACAAAAAAAGAGCAAGAAAUACAGACUACUGGAGAAGAACAUCAUCUACACCGCAACGUAGAGCUAACUUCUCCUGGCUUAUCUCAAGAACAACACAGAUCUCUAGAUGAAGGAGAAGGAGAGUUAAACAAAGCUGAAGAUUCACGUGACAGUGAAUCACUUGAGUUUGGAAAACCUGUGAGACGCAACAGUAACCCUUUCAAACCACCUAAUAUGACUGAAAGUGAACAUGGACCUCUAGACACACUCUGAAUGAACAGACUUCAACUGAAGAGCUUUCAGUUUCCAUUGAUAUCUCACUUCAUUUAAAAAAUAUUCAACAGAUGGAUCAAAAUGCGCCAGAGGUCAAAUAUAAAAAAUACAUGCACAGACCACAAUCUGGAGGAAACAACAACUGUGAAAAAAUGCUUAUUCAGAGAAAGAUGAAGAUGUCAUGCUGAGAUACUCCUCUAAAUCUUCCACAGCAUAUAUACAUUUGUAAACUUUUUGUCAUCUUUUUACAUUGUUGUAUAUGUAUUUAAUAAUAUUUAAAUCUGCUAUUUAUGUUUCCAUGUGUUGAAGAGUCGAGGAGAAGCUCCAUAAGUAUUAUAAAUGCAUCUGCUUUAUGAGUAAAUGUAAGAGGAAAAUAUGUGUUCCUCAGAUGAUUAAACAGACUUCCUCAAAAGAGUAGUUGAUGCAGUUGGCAACUACAAUGGGGGAAAAACAUGAUUCCCAACUGCAUUGAUUUUUUAAAUGCUGUCUUUUUACAGCAAUUAUAUCCAAAAAUAUCAAUGCUUAUGUUUAGCCUUUAUGUUGUACAAGUGCUACUAAAAUCAUUGAAAUGACAGGUAGGCCUAGAUUCUGAUAUAAUAUGUAAAUAUAUAGUUUUGUUUAAUUGCUGGCAAGACAAUCUAAAAAUACUGCAUAAUAAAGAAUAAGUAUUUAAUUCAAUACUCCCAUGAAUGCUGGUCCUGGAAGGUGAAAAACUAUGUAAUGCAAUGUCGCCACCUGCUGGAAAAUAUGCUGUAUUAAGUCUAAUGGUGUAAUAGCACCAUCUAGUGAAAACGAGUAGUAUUACACUCUGCAUAUUUAAAGGGAUAGUUCACCAAAAAAUGAAAGUUAUGUCAUCAUUUACUCACCUUCAUGUUACAAACCUGAGUUUCUUUUCCACUAAAGAACAAACAAAAAGAAAUUCAUUUUUGGAAAUAUUUUUUUUUGGCUUCAAUGUUCUUUAUUUUGUUUCACUUCAUGGCAUGAGGGUGAAGUUAAUGACAUAGAAGUUUCAUUUUUGAGUGAACUACCCCUUUAACAAAAACUUUUUUUUUUUUUAAAUAAAGGUACUUUUAUUACAAAAUAACGACAUGCAUUAAAAAAACGACACUUUCUUAUUUUCCUCUUCUGUUCUGCAGUUUCGCUUCUCUAGUUGUGCAAUAUUCUGGCUUGUUCUUCGAAUGUUUUAUGCCACUUAAUAUUGUUGGCUCCAUUAGGAUAAAUUACUUCUGUUUUUCUUCAUUUCCAAGACUGGUUAGUCUGGUAAACAAAUGAAUGUCAAAUCUCAUGUUCUUAUUUUUGAGUCUCCACAAUCUGUAUGUUUUGUUGUCUCUUAAAGUGUAUUUAUCCAAUGGUUUGUCUGUUCCUCAUCUGCAAUGAAAGCUCAUUUUCAUUAAAGCACCU